CGGUCCCCGCCACCGCCCACACGGGUACACACUUCCAUGGGUCUCUGUACAGAGAGGUGUCGAGAACCACCACCACCCACUUCAAGAACUGUGUCACAAGAAAUUCUACCACAUCCCAGGCGAGAGAGCACCAGCCCCCUCAGCCUUCUGUAGCCAGAACAAACGUGGGCGGAGCCUGCAUCCUGGCAGGAGGAUGCCACCCAAGAGGCAGCCGAGUCCUGAGGCAGAAGGCAACAAGAGUCCUGGGUGCCAGUUCCACUCUGCCGUCACCACCUCUGUAAUCAGGUGAAUCUUUCUGAACUUCAGUAUCCACAGCCACAAGGUAAUUCUGGUGUGUGAACCCUGGGAUGACAUCUGGAGUGUGGACAGGACAAUCGGGCUUCAGAGACAACAGAGAGCAAGAAGGAUGCCUUGUGGCUGAAUCUUGAGGAGGGGAGGGGCCUUCCCAGCAAGCAGCCUCAGGAAGGAGGCACCCGUGUUCUGAUGGUGCCGGCUGUGUGAGAACCACCAGUACAAACAAGACUGUUCGACAACCAUCGUUUCAGAUAACCCACCAGUACAAACAACAGAAAACAGCACGCUGUCUCCAAGGGUUGCCUUGCCUUGAUUCUCUAUAAGCCUUUUACUGAAGUAUACACAUGUGAUAAGAACAGGCCUCUGGGUUCAAUCCCCAGUACCACAAGGAAAUAAAGUGUGUCUUUUAAAGGAAGGAGGAAAAAAGAAAG
Molecule: long non-coding RNA, 725 nt
Organism: Rattus norvegicus (Norway rat)
Lineage: Eukaryota; Metazoa; Chordata; Mammalia; Rodentia; Muridae
Source: RefSeq, a predicted model, not a curated record